RNAcentral lists this ribosomal RNA (208 nucleotides) under uncultured bacterium. RNAcentral describes it as "partial 16S ribosomal RNA". It matches the Rfam family "Bacterial small subunit ribosomal RNA", at positions 568 to 774 of the family's 1533-position model. The record is from RNAcentral.
UGCGUAGGCGGCCUUGUCCGUCAGAGGUGAAAUCUACCGGCUCACCCGGUCAGACUGCCUCUGAAACUACAAGGCUUGAGUCCGUGAGGGGAUGGUGGAAUUCCUGGUGUAACGGUGAAAUGUGCAGAUAUCAGGAAGAACACCGGUGGCGAAGGCGGCCAUCUGGCACGGUACUGACGCUGAGGCACGAAAGCUAGGGUAUCGAACG